AUGAAUAUUUCGAACAAUCACAUGAGGAAGUCCUUGAGAAGGAUAAACAAUGAAGUUCCUAGAAGGAGCAAGAGACAAAGGAUUGCAAAAUCCUUUGGUGAUGAUUUCAUUGUAUACCUUGUGGACGACACACCCAAGACGAUUGCAGAAGCAUAUGCAUCUCCGGAUGUAGAUGAUUGGAAAGAAGCUGUUCGUAAUGAGAUGGACUCAAUUCUUUCUAAUGGAACUUGGGAACUAACUGAUAGACCAUAUGGUUGUAAACCUGUGGGCUGUAAGUGGGUGUUCAAAAAGAAGCUAAAGCCUGAUGGUACUAUUGAUAAGUACAAGGCGCGGCUAGUGGCCAAGGGCUACACUCAGAAAGAAGGCGAAGAUUACUUUGACACCUAUUCACCCGUUGCUAGAAUGACCAUCAUUCGAGUGUUACUUUCCUUGGCUGCCUCUUAUGGUAUUAUCAUUCAUCAAAUGGAUGUAAAGACAGCUUUUCUCAAUGGAGAGUUGGAAGAGGAGAUCUAUAUGGAUCAGCCUGACGGGUUUGUGGUAAAGGGUGAAGAGAGAAAGGUGUGCAAGUUGUUAAAAUCUUUGUAUGGUCUGAAACAGGCACCUAAGCAAUGGCAUGAGAAGUUUGAAAGAACUCUGACUUCUGCAGGAUUUGUCAUUAACGAGGCUGAUAGGUGUGUUUACUAUCGCCAUGGUGGGGGCAAUAGUGUCAUAUUAUGUUUGUAUGUGGACGACAUACUGAUCUUUGGUACAAAUAUUAAUGCAAUUAAUGAGGUCAAGUCUUUUCUAUCAAAAAGUUUUGACAUGAAAGAUCUGGGAGAAGCCGAUGUAAUUCUAAACAUCAAACUUAUUAAGGAUGAGAGUGGGAUUACAUUAACGCAAUCUCACUAUGUUGAGAAGGUCUUGAACCGAUUCGGUUUUAUGGAUAGCAAGCCUUCUCCAACACCUUAUGAUCCCAGCGUGACACUCAGAAAGAACAAGAAAGAAACGAGAGAUCAAUUAAGAUACUCUCAAAUUGUCGGUUCACUCAUGUACUUAGCUAGCGCUACAAGACCAGAUAUCUCUUUUGCUGUGAGCAAACUGAGUAGGUUCAUGUCCAACCCGGGUGAUGAUCAUUGGCAUGCACUAGAAAGGGUCUUGCGCUAUCUGAGAGGUACUAUGAGUUACGGAAUUACUUAUUCAGGGCAUCCUGCUGUGCUAGAAGGAUAUAGUGAUUCAAAUUGGAUCUCCGAUGUUGAUGUACUUUACGCAACAAGUGGGUAUGUAUUUACUCAUGGUGGUGGCGCAGUGUCAUGGAGGUCUUGCAAGCAAACCAUAUUGACGAGGUCAACUAUGGAAGCAGAAUUAACUGCUUUGGACACAGCUACUGUUGAGGCAGAAUGGCUGCGUGAGCUCUUGAUGGACUUGCCGGUUGUUGAAAAACCUGUACCGGCUAUUCUUAUGAAUUGUGAUAACCAAACACGUGAAAAGACGUUUGAAGUCUGUCAGGAAGUUGAGAAACUCCGGAGUAAUAACUGUUACGUAUAUACAAACAGACAAAAACCUGGCAGAUCCCUUUACAAAGGGACUAUCACGAAAUGUGAUAGAUAUUGCAUCGAGGGAGAUGGGUAUGAGACCCAUAGCAGUCUUGAAAGAACACACCUAUAUGAGUUCUGA
Molecule: ribosomal RNA, 1653 nt
Filed under: Triticum aestivum (bread wheat)
Lineage: Eukaryota; Viridiplantae; Streptophyta; Magnoliopsida; Poales; Poaceae
Description: partial small subunit ribosomal RNA
Source: RNAcentral